This 104-nucleotide small nuclear RNA is filed under the name Castor canadensis (American beaver). Lineage: Eukaryota; Metazoa; Chordata; Mammalia; Rodentia; Castoridae. The record is from RNAcentral.
GUGCUCGCUUUGGCAGCACAUAUCUAAAACUGGAACAAUACAGAGAAGAUUGGCAUGGCCCCUGCACAAGGAUUACGCACACUCGUGAAGUUUUCCACAUUUAA